GGAGAGCAGAAGAAUCUGGAAAAUCCAUGUGCGCCUGCUUACCUUGCUGCAGCUUGCAUGCAGACUAUGACUCCUCCCACCUCCGCGAUGUGUGUGAAGAGAUGUUUCUCCAUAUCCCCUGCAGGAAUGCUCUGAACAUUGCCUUACUCCUGAUCUAGUCUUGCCUGAGGGGCUUGGCUGGGAAAGAAAUUGAACCUUUGGACGUUUUUCUGUCUUGCAUUUCCUAGAUUCAGUGACUGACAAAUCAAUUUCAAAUCUGCCUCGAUGAUCAGAAGUGCAAAUCUUAUAAAACCUCGAGUUUUGGAUCCAGACUCUGACACUAUUCAAAUCCUCAGCUAACAGCAGGGUGCUCAGAGAAUUCAGCCAGCAGCAUGCUCCAGUUUAGAAUUUCCUGCAAGUUCAUGGCUGAGUUUCGUGAAGACCGCUCUGCCACUGACAUCUUCUCCUGGCAAUGUGACAGAAAAUAAAUUGAAUAAUAUUAUGGUCAGGUGUUACAGGCUCCAUAAUGCCAUACAUAUUGUAGGCACAUUGUGUUCUAGCUUUGGAAAAUGCUUCACAGAAAAUGGUUGUAAUAGGUGGUUAACAUCGCUCAGUACUCAGAGCAGGGCCUGAGGCCUCUGCAACUGAUUCCUUUGAAAAAGUUGGCCUACAAGGCAUCAGACCUCUUGCUGUAGGUCUAGGCUCACAACACCCAGCCAUUUCAAGUCUCCCUUUCUGCAGUCUGCUUGGCAAAAUGGGAGGAGUUUAUCCCAUGUGAACUGAAGGAAUUUUGGCAGUCUCAUCUUCUGGCGACUGGUAUGGCUAUGAGGGCUGCCCCAGCAGUUCCUGUCAAGCUGCCCUGGCUCAGUGGAGGUGCAUGAGGGUACGCAGCAUCAGCAGCUGUGACAUGGCUCUGGUUAUGCUCGCUGGGUACUGGGAACUACUGCCACGAGAGCAACAAGUUCAGCUGAACAAACUUUGCAUUGGAGACCAGAAGUCUACUGAUGCACUGUUCCUUUUAGCCAGAGGAAAAGGAUGCUGCCCAAGAAGAGCUGGAAAGAAUCAGUGCAGCCGCGCUUCAAUAAUCAUCCAGUUCCAAGGACUGAUAGAGUAA
RNAcentral lists this long non-coding RNA (1093 nucleotides) under Anas platyrhynchos platyrhynchos (common mallard). Its description in RNAcentral is "lncRNA (ENSAPLG00000027895.1)". The record is from RNAcentral. Lineage: Eukaryota; Metazoa; Chordata; Aves; Anseriformes; Anatidae.